Molecule: ribosomal RNA, 488 nt
Filed under: uncultured bacterium
Lineage: Bacteria
Description: bacterial SSU rRNA
Rfam family: Bacterial small subunit ribosomal RNA
Source: RNAcentral
GAUGAACGCUAGCGGGAGGCUUAACACAUGCAAGUCGAGGGGUAAAUGGUAGCAAUACUAUGAGACCGGCGAACGGGUGCGUAACGCGUAUGCAACUUACCUUAUGCAGGGGGAUAGCCCGUGGAAACGCGGAUUAAUAUCCCAUAGAUCAGUAAUAUCGCAUGGUAUAACUGGUAAAACUCAGGUGGCAUAAGAUGGGCAUGCGUCUGAUUAGCUAGUUGGUAGGGUAACGGCCUACCAAGGCGACGAUCAGUAGGGGUUCUGAGAGGAUUAACCCCCACACUGGUACUGAGACACGGACCAGACUCCUACGGGAGGCAGCAGUCGAGAAUAGUCUACAAUGGUCGAAAGACUGAUAGUGCGACGCCGCGUGAACGAAGAAGCCCUUCGGGGUGUAAAGUUCUUUUAUAUGUGAGCAAUGCCUUUUAUGUGAAUAGCAUGAGAGGAGCGAUAUUAGCAUAUGAAUAAGCAACGGCUAACUCCGUGCC